RNAcentral lists this long non-coding RNA (697 nucleotides) under Volvox carteri. Its description in RNAcentral is "long non-coding RNA (VCAR_LNC004378)". The record is from RNAcentral. Lineage: Eukaryota; Viridiplantae; Chlorophyta; Chlorophyceae; Chlamydomonadales; Volvocaceae.
UUCUUCAUCCCCUUUAGGGGAACUAAAGGGGAAGAAAACGAAGAAGAGACUUUGGGGAUAACCUAAAGGGGAACUUUAGUUCAUCUUCUUUAGUUCCCCUAAAGGGGAUGAACUAAAGGGGAAGAAGAAGAAGAAGAACUAAAGGGGAACUUUAGUUCCCCUUUAGGGGAAGAACCCCAAAGUCUUCCCCUUCGUCUUCCCCUUUGGUGAUAACGAAGAAGAUGAACCCCUUCGUUUUCUUCCCCUUUGGGGAAGAAAACGAAGGGGUGUUCCCCUUCUUCCCCUAAAGGGGACGGAGUCCCCUUUAGUUCCCCUAAAGGGGAUGAAGAAGGGGUUCGUCCCCUUUAGUUCCCCUAAAGGGGAUGAACCAAAGGGGAAGAAAACGAAGGGGUGUUCCCCUUCUUCAUCCCCUACGGGGAACUAAAGGGGACGGAGUCCCCUUUAGUUCAUCCCCUUUAGGGGAACUAAAGGGGAUGAAGAAGGGGUUCCCCUUCUUCAUCCCCUACGGGGAACCAAAGGGGAGGGAUGACGAAGGAGUUCCCCUAAAGGGGAAGAACACACCCCUUCUUCCCCUUUAGUUCAUCCCCUUUAGGGGAACUUUAGUUCCCCUUUAGGGGAAGAAGAAGAACACUAAAGUUCCCCUUUAGGGGAAGAACUUUAGGGGAUGGGAACUAAAGGGAAGGACAACCCUACGNNN